UUUAUGGGGUGAACUCCUCUCUUUACAU
RNAcentral lists this transfer RNA (28 nucleotides) under Tympanocryptis pentalineata (Five-lined earless dragon). RNAcentral describes it as "partial tRNA-Tyr". Lineage: Eukaryota; Metazoa; Chordata; Lepidosauria; Squamata; Agamidae. The record is from RNAcentral.